This 253-nucleotide ribosomal RNA is filed under the name uncultured bacterium. RNAcentral's name for it is "partial 16S ribosomal RNA". It matches the Rfam family "Bacterial small subunit ribosomal RNA", at positions 524 to 776 of the family's 1533-position model. The record is from RNAcentral.
UACGUAGGGUGCAAGCGUUGUCCGGAAUUAUUGGGCGUAAAGGGCUCGUAGGCGGUCUGUCACGUCGGGAGUGAAAACUCAGGGCUUAACCCUGAGCCUGCUUCCGAUACGGGCUGACUAGAGGUAUGCAGGGGAGAACGGAAUUCCUGGUGUAGCGGUGAAAUGCGCAGAUAUCAGGAGGAACACCGGUGGCGAAGGCGGUUCUCUGGGCAUUACCUGACGCUGAGGAGCGAAAGUGUGGGGAGCGAACAGG